This 517-nucleotide ribosomal RNA is filed under the name uncultured bacterium. RNAcentral describes it as "bacterial SSU rRNA". It matches the Rfam family "Bacterial small subunit ribosomal RNA", at positions 8 to 518 of the family's 1533-position model. The record is from RNAcentral.
AGAGUUGAUCCUGGCUCAGGAUGAACGCUAGCUACAGGCCUAACACAUGCAAGUCGGAGGGGCAGCAUGGGAGGAGCUUGCUUUCCCGAUGGCGACCGGCGAAGUGGGUGAGUCACGCGUGUCCAACCUCGCCCCCCGCCCGGGGAUAGCCCUUGGAAAUGAGGAUUAAGACCCGAUACGUGCGCUUUCCGCAUGGCGAGCGCAUGAAACCAGGCGAGGGAUGGGGACGCGUCGGAUUAGCUUGACGGCGGGGCAACGGCCCACCGUGGCGACGAUCCGCAGGGGUUCUGAGAGGAAGGUCCCCCACACUGGCACUGAGACACGGGCCAGACUCCUACGGGAGGCAGCAGUGAGGAAUAUUGGUCAAUGGCCGAGAGGCUGAACCAGCCAAGUAGCGUGCAAGGAUGACGGCCCUACGGGUUGUAAACUGCUUUUGCGGGAGGAUAAAGUGCGCCACGUGUGGCGCUUUGCAGGUAUCCCGUGAAUAAGGACCGGCUAAUUCCGUGCCAGCAGCCGC